This is a long non-coding RNA of Gossypium raimondii (Peruvian cotton), 999 nucleotides long. RefSeq lists it as uncharacterized. The transcript has 3 exons. Lineage: Eukaryota; Viridiplantae; Streptophyta; Magnoliopsida; Malvales; Malvaceae. The record is from RefSeq and is a predicted model, not a curated record.
AAGAAAUCAACUUUUUCUUCAUUGUUUGUAUCAGCGAAAGUAGAAAAGAAAAGCUGGGUUUGAGAGCUUGAAAUAUUCGGCCCUUUUGAAAGCUUAAUUCAAGAUCAAGAAACCAAGAAAUCGGAUUUAGAUCGGGAGAAAUCAAAGGUAGUUGAGUAGCCGAUUUAUUAGUCGACGAUAUCCGAGAUUUUGGUGAUCGCUACGUGUUCGGGAUCGUCAUUAAGCUCAUCACACUAUCGGUGUCUUCUUUUGGUAUUUUGCUAAAUUGUUUUCAAGUAUAUGGCAUGUAUAGCAUAGUUAAAAAUGUUGAUUUUGAAACCAAUGUGUUUGUGUAAUUAAAAGCCAUGCGAAAAUGACUUAUCUCUUUUGUUUGAAUUUGAUUUUGAUACAUAUAGUUAAUGGACAAUUUGGGGUAUAUGCUUAUGUAUCAUGUGCAUGAUUAAUUAGAUUUAGAUAAUAUAUAUUUGGCUUAGAUAUAAGUUCAAUAAUUAUUUUCUUUUUAAAGAUGUGAUGACCUAUUGUGUGGUACAGGUUUGAUUUAGUGUAAGCAUAUUAAGCAUGUAAAUUAGGUACAAAAUUAGAGGUUAAUAGUGUAUAAUAUGGUGCAAGUUGUCAAGGUCAUAUGAGCACAUAACGGUAGUGAGAAAGUAGGUGCAUUUUUGUGUUAUAAUUUGAUGUAUAAUGCUAUCCAAUUAAAGCAAUUUAAAGCUGCCAAAUUUGAUGUCCAAUUUUGAGUGUAUUGAUGCUGCCCAUUUUAAUGUGUAAUGCUUCCAAUUUUGAGUGUAUUGAUGCUGUCCAUUUUAAUGUGUAAUGCUGUUCAAUUUUGAGUGUAUUGAUGCUGUCCAUUUUAAUGUAUAAUGCUGUCCAAUUUUGAGUGUAUUGAUGCUGUCCAUUUUAAUAUAUAAUGCUGUCCAAUUGUGAGUAUAUUUAAGCUGUCUAAUUUGAUGUAUAAUGCUGUCCAAUUUUGGGUAUAUUUAAGCUGUCUAAUUUGAUGUAUAA